RNAcentral lists this ribosomal RNA (491 nucleotides) under uncultured bacterium. RNAcentral describes it as "partial 16S ribosomal RNA". It matches the Rfam family "Bacterial small subunit ribosomal RNA", at positions 29 to 506 of the family's 1533-position model. The record is from RNAcentral.
AGUGAACGCUGGCGGUAGGCCUAACACAUGCAAGUCGAACGGCAGCACAGUAAGAGCUUGCUCUUACGGGUGGCGAGUGGCGGACGGGUGAGGAAUACAUCGGAAUCUACUUUUUCGUGGGGGAUAACGUAGGGAAACUUACGCUAAUACCGCAUACGACCUACGGGUGAAAGCAGGGGAUCUUCGGACCUUGCGCGAUUGAAUGAGCCGAUGUCGGAUUAGCUAGUUGGCGGGGUAAAGGCCCACCAAGGCGACGAUCCGUAGCUGGUCUGAGAGGAUGAUCAGCCACACUGGAACUGAGACACGGUCCAGACUCCUACGGGAGGCAGCAGUGGGGAAUAUUGGACAAUGGGCGCAAGCCUGAUCCAGCCAUACCGCGUGGGUGAAGAAGGCCUUCGGGUUGUAAAGCCCUUUUGUUGGGAAAGAAAAGCAGCAGGUUAAUACCCCGCUGUUCUGACGGGACCCAAAGAAGAAGCACCGGCUAACUUCGG